GACGUACUUGUACUGAUUGAGAUUUUAACACGAAGUGAGUGGCGAACGGGUGAGUAACACGUGGGUAACCUGCCCAGAAGUAGGGGAUAACACCUGGAAACAGAUGCUAAUACCGUAUAACAGAGAAAACCGCAUGGUUUUCUUUUAAAAGAUGGCUCUGCUAUCACUUCUGGAUGGACCCGCGGCGUAUUAGCUAGUUGGUGAGGUAAAGGCUCACCAAGGCAGUGAUACGUAGCCGACCUGAGAGGGUAAUCGGCCACAUUGGGACUGAGACACGGCCCAGACUCCUACGGGAGGCAGCAGUAGGGAAUCUUCCACAAUGGACGCAAGUCUGAUGGAGCAACGCCGCGUGAGUGAAGAAGGGUUUCGGCUCGUAAAGCUCUGUUGUUAAAGAAGAACGUGGGUAAGAGUAACUGUUUACCCAGUGACGGUAUUUA
RNAcentral lists this ribosomal RNA (437 nucleotides) under Pediococcus pentosaceus. RNAcentral's name for it is "bacterial SSU rRNA". It matches the Rfam family "Bacterial small subunit ribosomal RNA", at positions 61 to 481 of the family's 1533-position model. Lineage: Bacteria; Bacillati; Bacillota; Bacilli; Lactobacillales; Lactobacillaceae. The record is from RNAcentral.